Felis catus (domestic cat) is the source of this 73-nucleotide transfer RNA. It matches the Rfam family "tRNA". Rfam says of the family: Transfer RNA (tRNA) molecules are approximately 80 nucleotides in length. Their secondary structure includes four short double-helical elements and three loops (D, anti-codon, and T loops). NCBI's taxonomy places the organism in Eukaryota, Metazoa, Chordata, Mammalia, Carnivora, Felidae. The record is from Rfam.
GCCUGGCUAGCUCCGUUGGUGGAGCACGUGACUCUUAAUCUCGGAGUCGUGAGUUCAAGCCCCACGUUGGGCG